AACGAACGCUGGCGGCAUGCCUAACACAUGCAAGUCGAACGAGACCUUCGGGUCUAGUGGCGCACGGGUGCGUAACGCGUGGGAACCUGCCCUUAGGUUCGGAAUAACUCCCCGAAAGGGGUGCUAAUACCGGAUAAUGUCUUCGGACCAAAGAUUUAUCGCCUUUGGAUGGGCCCGCGUUGGAUUAGCUAGUUGGUAGGGUAAAAGCCUACCAAGGCGACGAUCCAUAGCUGGUCUGAGAGGAUGAUCAGCCACACUGGGACUGAGACACGGCCCAGACUCCUACGGGAGGCAGCAGUGGGGAAUAUUGGACAAUGGGCGAAAGCCUGAUCCAGCAAUGCCGCGUGAGUGAUGAAGGCCUUAGGGUUGUAAAGCUCUUUUACCCGAGAUGAUAAUGACAGUGCCGGGAGAAUAAGCUCCGGCUAACUCCGU
Molecule: ribosomal RNA, 432 nt
Filed under: uncultured bacterium
Lineage: Bacteria
Description: partial 16S ribosomal RNA
Rfam family: Bacterial small subunit ribosomal RNA
Source: RNAcentral